This is a long non-coding RNA of Salvia miltiorrhiza (redroot sage), 853 nucleotides long. RefSeq lists it as uncharacterized. NCBI's taxonomy places the organism in Eukaryota, Viridiplantae, Streptophyta, Magnoliopsida, Lamiales, Lamiaceae. The transcript has 2 exons. The record is from RefSeq and is a predicted model, not a curated record.
CUCUAGGUAGGUCAAUUUUCUGAAAUGUACUGCGCGAAGCAGCGUAGUUCUGUGGCAGAUUCUGUCUUUCUUGAUAUAAUUUCUUAUACACUUGAGAUAUUGCAUUUUUGUAAAUUUUCAUUAAAAAUAGACUUUAAGAAAUUUCUAAAAAGGUAAAUCAUGUAUUUUUCUUUGAAGAGGUUGAUUUUAUAUGAUUUUUCAAAGUUGAGAUUCAUAUAUGAUUACAUAUUUGAAGUUACUUAUUUGGGAUAGUUGAGUAAAACUAUGCUUAAGUCAUUGGUCAAUUCUUGAAUUGAUAUUUUAGUUAUCAAUUGUAAACUAAUCUAUAUAGAAUGGGUUAGUUACUCUUACUUUUUCAACUUGAGAUAUCCCAAGAGAUAUGAUGUUACUGUUUGCUUUUGGUUAGUUUAGUUGAUGCAACCCUAGUUUUGCAAAAGAUUAAAAGUUUAUCGGGAUGCUAUUUAUAGUUAUUUCUUCUUAUCUAGUUAUCCAACCUUAUUUUGUAAUCUUGCUAUUAUGAAGGUGACAGUAACAAUGCUAGAUAAGUGAGCAAGAGUUUCUACAUCGUUAAGUAUAUCAGGUUAAGCUGUGAUGCAGAUGGUAGCAAGCAGAGCUAAGCCCUCGGUGUAUAUAUAUAUAAUUUAGGCUCGGGAUUUCAUGUCCUCAUACAUGUAAUCCACUUGAGUUGUUUCCGCUGCAACACUUAAUGUACCUUACUUUAUUGAUGUGUUGUAGAGAUUUUAAACCAAUAGCUUCGAGAAUUAUAUUAUUUAGACAGCUUGUCGUUGUGUUAUUGUAAGUUGUCUACUCGUGAGUUUUAAAAGUGUUGCCUACGAUUAUUCAAUAUUAUAGU